Grammomys surdaster is the source of this 130-nucleotide small nucleolar RNA. RefSeq annotates it as small nucleolar RNA SNORA17. The record is from RefSeq and is a predicted model, not a curated record. Lineage: Eukaryota; Metazoa; Chordata; Mammalia; Rodentia; Muridae. The transcript has a single exon.
CAUGCCCCUAGAGAUGUUGCAGGAGUGGCUGUUGUGUGGCAUGUGUGUCUGUAGGUGGCAGAGGAGAGAGGCUAUGUCUAUGCUCAGUGUUCUGACCUGUGAACAUCUGAAUGAUUAGUUGCCUAACAUU